Molecule: ribosomal RNA, 202 nt
Filed under: uncultured Staphylococcus sp.
Lineage: Bacteria; Bacillati; Bacillota; Bacilli; Caryophanales; Staphylococcaceae
Description: partial 16S ribosomal RNA
Rfam family: Bacterial small subunit ribosomal RNA
Source: RNAcentral
AAGCUAAUACCGGAUAAUAUAUUGAACCGCAUGGUUCAAUAGUGAAAGACGGUUUGUCUGUCACUUAUAGAUGGAUCCGCGCCGCAUUAGCUAGUUGGUAAGGUAACGGCUUACCAAGGCAACGAUGCGUAGCCGACCUGAGAGGGUGAUCGGCCACACUGGAACUGAGACACGGUCCAGACUCCUACGGGAGGCAGCAGCC